This 232-nucleotide long non-coding RNA is filed under the name Apteryx owenii (little spotted kiwi). RNAcentral's name for it is "lncRNA (ENSAOWG00000001033.1)". Lineage: Eukaryota; Metazoa; Chordata; Aves; Apterygiformes; Apterygidae. The record is from RNAcentral.
AAAAGAACAUAAGAAUUGUAAGAAGGAGGCUGAAUUUCAAGUAGAGGCCCUCUCAUGUAACAAGAAAUGGUCAUUAAAGACUUCUGUUGAAGAGCAGAAUUGGGUGUUCAGUAAGUCUUACAGUGAAAAAGAAGUGACCUUCUCUGUUACAAGUGAAUUGAACAGGAUCUUGAGAAAGGGCAGACUUCCAGAAAUACCCUUGCAGUGACAGUGCACCUGUAUAGAAUUAUGC